This 301-nucleotide ribosomal RNA is filed under the name uncultured bacterium. RNAcentral describes it as "partial 16S ribosomal RNA". It matches the Rfam family "Bacterial small subunit ribosomal RNA", at positions 509 to 807 of the family's 1533-position model. The record is from RNAcentral.
CAGUCGCCGCGGUAAAACCGAGGGUGCAAGCGUUAAUCGGAAUUACUGGGCGUAAAGCGCGCGUAGGUGGUUUGUUAAGUUGGAUGUGAAAGCCCCGGGCUCAACCUGGGAACUGCAUCCAAAACUGGCAAGCUAGAGUACGGUAGAGGGUGGUGGAAUUUCCUGUGUAGCGGUGAAAUGCGUAGAUAUAGGAAGGAACACCAGUGGCGAAGGCGACCACCUGGACUGAUACUGACACUGAGGUGCGAAAGCGUGGGGAGCAAACAGGAUUAGAUACCCGCGUAGUCCCUGUCUCUUAUAC